AAAAGGAUGGCUGAAUUAAAGCAUCACACUGUAAAUGUGAGUAUGAGUUUAUUUGCUCUCCUUUUA
This 66-nucleotide transfer RNA is filed under the name Columbicola columbae (slender pigeon louse). Its description in RNAcentral is "tRNA-Tyr". It matches the Rfam family "tRNA". Rfam says of the family: Transfer RNA (tRNA) molecules are approximately 80 nucleotides in length. Lineage: Eukaryota; Metazoa; Arthropoda; Insecta; Psocodea; Philopteridae. The record is from RNAcentral.